AGAGUUUGAUCAUGGCUCAGAUUGAACGCUGGCGGCAGGCUUAACACAUGCAAGUCGAGCGGAGAUGAGGUGCUUGCACCUUAUCUUAGCGGCGGACGGGUGAGUAAUGCUUAGGAAUCUGCCUAUUAGUGGGGGACAACAUUCCGAAAGGAAUGCUAAUACCGCAUACGUCCUACGGGAGAAAGCAGGGGAUCUUCGGACCUUGCGCUAAUAGAUGAGCCUAAGUCGGAUUAGCUAGUUGGUGGGGUAAAGGCCUACCAAGGCGACGAUCUGUAGCGGGUCUGAGAGGAUGAUCCGCCACACUGGGACUGAGACACGGCCCAGACUCCUACGGGAGGCAGCAGUGGGGAAUAUUGCGCAAUGGGGGCAACCCUGACGCAGCCAUGCCGCGUGAAUGAAGAAGGCCUUCGGGUUGUAAAGUUCUUUCGGUAGCGAGGAAGGCAUUUAGUUUAAUAAACUAGGUGAUUGACGUUAACUACAGAAGAAGCACCGGCUAACUCCGUGCCAGCAGCCGCGGUAAUACGGAGGGUGCGAGCGUUAAUCGGAAUAACUGGGCGUAAAGGGCACGCAGGCGGUGACUUAAGUGAGGUGUGAAAGCCCCGGGCUUAACCUGGGAAUUGCAUUUCAUACUGGGUCGCUAGAGUACUUUAGGGAGGGGUAGAAUUCCACGUGUAGCGGUGAAAUGCGUAGAGAUGUGGAGGAAUACCGAAGGCGAAGGCAGCCCCUUGGGAAUGUACUGACGCUCAUGUGCGAAAGCGUGGGGAGCAAACAGGAUUAGAUACCCCGGUAGUCCAA
RNAcentral lists this ribosomal RNA (795 nucleotides) under uncultured bacterium. RNAcentral's name for it is "bacterial SSU rRNA". It matches the Rfam family "Bacterial small subunit ribosomal RNA", at positions 8 to 798 of the family's 1533-position model. The record is from RNAcentral.